Ictalurus furcatus (blue catfish) is the source of this 742-nucleotide long non-coding RNA. RefSeq lists it as uncharacterized. The transcript is spliced from 3 exons. NCBI's taxonomy places the organism in Eukaryota, Metazoa, Chordata, Actinopteri, Siluriformes, Ictaluridae. The record is from RefSeq and is a predicted model, not a curated record.
AAGAACUAUGACGAGGAACUGGGAGCGGAUAAUCCAGCGCAAACUAACUCUAAACAUGGACCGUGACUACGACUACGACUACGACUACGACUACGAACUGAACUAAACUAACUCUACAAUAAUCUUCCGCGUUGUGUGCUGGGAGGCGCGCGGUAUAUAUGCGGACAUAAUCAGCGUCUAAACCGCUUGCAGCUGAGAGCAAUACAGACCCACGUGAAAUCCCAGCCAAUGACAGAACAGGGAGGAGACAUGACAGAAACAUAAACAAAACACACGUGUCCAGAUGUCAUUACGGUCAACAACGGAAAAGCAGGUGCUCGCGCAUUCGCGCUUCGAGCAGGCUGCUUCAAGGGGGAAUCAUGACAGAGUGGAGAAUGCAGACUACUUCCAGUGUCAGCACUGACUAUUUUGGUUGACUGUAUAUACAAAGAAUUGGCUGGAGAGGGCUUGGACAGCAGCACACUUAUCUGAAAGCUGAAAUGUGUAGGAAGGUGCUAUGUCCCUGUAUCCAUCCAGAAUGAAAGUGGAGGCCAGAUGACUAUUGCACUGAAGGAACACCUUGUCUUCCUGAAUAUACUACAUUUACACCGGUUAUGAGUCAGUUCUGAGAUUUUGGCAGGUUUGCUUUGAUACAGCUAAAAUGCUGUCUUCCUUGUCUAAAUGGCUGCAGUACAAGAAAGUGAUCAUUUUCUGAAACUGAAAGACACUUGGAAUUAAUAAAAAAUAAAUAAAUAAAUAAAUA